CAGCCGCCGCGGGAAUACGUAGGUGGCAAGCGUUGUCCGGAAUUAUUGGGCGUAAAGGGCUCGCAGGCGGUUUCUUAAGUCUGAUGUGAAAGCCCCCGGCUCAACCGGGGAGGGUCAUUGGAAACUGGGAAACUUGAGUGCAGAAGAGGAGAGUGGAAUUCCACGUGUAGCGGUGAAAUGCGUAGAGAUGUGGAGGAACACCAGUGGCGAAGGCGACUCUCUGGUCUAUAACUGAAGCUGAGGAGCGAAAGCGUGGGGAGCAAACAGGAUUAGAUACCCGUGUAGUCCCUGUCUCUUAUAC
This 301-nucleotide ribosomal RNA is filed under the name uncultured bacterium. Its description in RNAcentral is "partial 16S ribosomal RNA". It matches the Rfam family "Bacterial small subunit ribosomal RNA", at positions 509 to 807 of the family's 1533-position model. The record is from RNAcentral.